RNAcentral lists this unclassified non-coding RNA (604 nucleotides) under Polistes fuscatus (common paper wasp). RNAcentral describes it as "defensin-1-like, transcript variant X3". The record is from RNAcentral. Lineage: Eukaryota; Metazoa; Arthropoda; Insecta; Hymenoptera; Vespidae.
CGUUAAAAACAGUUCUUCUUCGUAAGCUUAACUGUAAAAUUGCUUUGUUAAAGUACCCUGAAUUGAGAUGAUCAAGAUGAUCCAGAUCAACACGUUGCUCUUUGCUUUGCUGGUCGUACUGUUUGGUAGUUCAAUAAUGGCAGCACCGUUCGAAGAAGAAAAAAGUUCGGGGUAUAGUUUUAUGAAUGAAAAAUUACCAGAAGAAUUAGAGACGAUUGAUCUCACGAGAUCCAGAAGAGCCACUUGCCGAAUUCCCGUUAUUGGUGAAUGGGUUAGCGACAGUGCUUGUGCCGCAGGCUGUAUCGCAAGAGGAAGAGCCGGUGGCCAUUGCAGAAAUGAGAUCUGUCAUUGUCGAGAAACCUUUUGUCGACUCUGUUUCCAAUAGUGUUGACGAGUAUCACCCUGCUUGCAAGGUCUGGGGAGGUGGAGAUUGGCUUUGUAACUUGUCCUGCCAAAUAGCAAAAAAAUCUGGUGGAUAUUGCAACGGAUACGACUGUCACUGCAGAGGAAUUACUAUUUUUUGGAUCUAUUGUUUGAACGAAAAUACAACAGGUUUGCUGCACACGACAAUUAUCAAGCAAAACAUUGUACAUAAAUACAUUAG